ACAGGAUGGACCUAAUUUUUGUCAUAGUUCUGGAAAUUCUUAGUUUUUUAGGGCUUGUUGUUGUUUUCGGAUGAACGUGGCGAUCCCCUGGAACCUCUCAGGGAUUUACUGUGAGUUCUUGGAGGACUUGAGGAGGCUGUAUGUAGUGUUUCCUCUGCUGGAGCUUUCUCUUGUGUGCUAAAAUGUAAUUACAUGCCAGGUAAUGUAGCUGGAGAGACUGGACUGACGGAUGGACCGCAUCAGUUCUCGUUCUGACCCCUCUUCUGACUCCUCUUCGCUGAGCACCUGUGUGAGACAUCAGUCAACAUCUAAGUAUACCUACUCCAGUGACAUAUUCAGCAAGUGGAGACAUGGCCACUAAGGAUGGUGACAGGAUCCAGGAGACCCACUAAGACAGACCUGGGUUCCAUUAUGAAGCAGACCACCGUGGUGGUGGAAACAUACGGAAGAGGCUAGUCAUCUAACGGGAACAGAAGCCAGAGAGUAACAGGAAGGAGCCAG
This 501-nucleotide long non-coding RNA is filed under the name Cricetulus griseus (Chinese hamster). RNAcentral's name for it is "lncRNA (ENSCGRG00015029569.1)". Lineage: Eukaryota; Metazoa; Chordata; Mammalia; Rodentia; Cricetidae. The record is from RNAcentral.